Molecule: ribosomal RNA, 321 nt
Filed under: uncultured eukaryote
Lineage: Eukaryota
Description: partial 18S ribosomal RNA
Rfam family: Eukaryotic small subunit ribosomal RNA
Source: RNAcentral
CCCUUAGAUGUUCUGGGCCGCACGCGUGCUACACUGAGUGGAUCAGCGGGUCAGGUUGCGCGAAAGCGUUUCCUAAUCUUUAAAUCCGCUCGUGAUGGGGAUUGACGGUUGCAAUUUUCUGUCAUGAACGAGGAAUACCUUGUAAGCGCGGGUCAUCAUCCCGCGCUGAAUACGUCCCUGCCCUUUGUACACACCGCCCGUCGCACCUACCGAUUGAACGUUCCGGUGAGACCUUGGGAUUUGGUCUUUGAUACUUUAUUGUGUCGUUGACCGAAAAACUUGAGCAAACCUUAACGUUUAGAGGAAGGUGAAGUCGUAACA